RNAcentral lists this ribosomal RNA (449 nucleotides) under uncultured bacterium. RNAcentral's name for it is "partial 16S ribosomal RNA". It matches the Rfam family "Bacterial small subunit ribosomal RNA", at positions 29 to 523 of the family's 1533-position model. The record is from RNAcentral.
AACGAACGCUGGCGGCAGGCUUAACACAUGCAAGUCGAACGAGAUCUUUGGAUCUAGUGGCAGACGGGUGAGGAACACGUGGGAACAUCCCUUUCAGUUCGGAAUAACGUUGGGAAACUAACGCUAAUACCGGAUACGUCCUUCGGGAGAAAGAUUUAUCGCUGAAAGAUUGGCCCGCGUCUGAUUAGCUAGUUGGUGAGGUAAUGGCUCACCAAGGCUACGAUCAGUAGCUGGUCUGAGAGGAUGAUCAGCCACAUUGGGACUGAGACACGGCCCAAACUCCUACGGGAGGCAGCAGUGGGGAAUAUUGGACAAUGGGCGCAAGCCUGAUCCAGCCAUGCCGCGUGAGUGAUGACGGCCUUCGGGUUGUAAAGCUCUUUUGUCCGGGAAGAUAAUGACUGUACCGGAAGAAUAAGCCCCGGCAAACUUCGUGCCAGCCGCCGCGGUAA